RNAcentral lists this ribosomal RNA (497 nucleotides) under uncultured bacterium. Its description in RNAcentral is "partial 16S ribosomal RNA". It matches the Rfam family "Bacterial small subunit ribosomal RNA", at positions 28 to 507 of the family's 1533-position model. The record is from RNAcentral.
GAUGAACGCUGGCGGCGUGCCUAAUACAUGCAAGUCGAGCGAACAGACGAGGCGCUUGCUCCUCUGACGUUAGCGGCGGACGGGUGAGUAACACGUGGAUCACCUCCCUAUAAGACUGGGAUCACUUCGGGAAACCGGCGAUAAUACCGGAUAAUAUAUUGCACCGCAUGGUUCAAUAGUGAAAGACGGUGUUUCUGUCUCUUAUAGAUGGAUACGCGCUGCUUUAGCUAGUUGGUAAGUUAACGGCCUACCAGGGGAACGAGGCGUAGCCGAGCGAAGAGGGUGAUAGCCGGCCUGGGAAGGGGGACGGCGUCAAUGGGCCUAAGGGAGGCAGCAGAAGGGUAUCUUCCGCAAUGGGCGAAAGCAUGACGGAACAACGCCGAGUGUGUGAUGAAGGUCUUCGGAUCGUAAAACUCGCUUAUUGGGGAAGAACAAAUGUCUACGUAACUGUGCACGUCUUGACGGUACCUAAUCAAAAAGCCCCGGCUAACUACGUG